Molecule: non-coding RNA, 85 nt
Filed under: Candidatus Accumulibacter
Lineage: Bacteria; Pseudomonadati; Pseudomonadota; Betaproteobacteria
Also listed under: 1 other name
Description: c-di-GMP sequence
Rfam family: c-di-GMP-I riboswitch aptamer
About the family: GEMM was predicted in a large-scale screen for bacterial structured RNA regulatory elements. Genes associated with GEMM are involved in a diverse array of functions, including chemotaxis regulation, signal transduction, secretion and chitin.
Source: RNAcentral
UCUCGAAAUUGGCAAACCCGCCGAAAGUCGGGGGCGCAAAGCCACGGAGCUAAGGAGGAAACUCUAUGCUGGCCGGGCCGCCGGG